GGAAAGGACAGCAUCUCUUGACAGUGUUGUUGUCUAUGACCAGAAAGUGACGAGAGGCUUUUUCUCAGUCUUUCUUCAAUGAUGUCCCACAAGCGAUGCGAAGACCUAGAUGUGUCGACUCCUUUGGAUUUUUACCAUUAAAGGAAUUAAAAAAUGAAAA
Long non-coding RNA from Pomacea canaliculata, 160 nucleotides. RefSeq lists it as uncharacterized. NCBI's taxonomy places the organism in Eukaryota, Metazoa, Mollusca, Gastropoda, Architaenioglossa, Ampullariidae. The record is from RefSeq and is a predicted model, not a curated record. The transcript has 2 exons.